UACGUAGGGUGCAAGCGUUAAUCGGAAUUACUGGGCGUAAAGCGUGCGCAGGCGGUUGUGCAAGACCGAUGUGAAAUCCCCGGGCUUAACCCUGGGGAAUGGCAUUGGUGACUGCACGGCUAGAGUGUGUCAGAGGGGGGUAGAAUUCCACGUGUAGCAGUGAAAUGCGUAGAGAUGUGGAGGAAUACCGAUGGCGAAGGCAGCCCCCUGGGAUAACACUGACGCUCAUGCACGAAAGCGUGGGGAGCAAACAGG
This 255-nucleotide ribosomal RNA is filed under the name uncultured bacterium. RNAcentral's name for it is "partial 16S ribosomal RNA". It matches the Rfam family "Bacterial small subunit ribosomal RNA", at positions 524 to 776 of the family's 1533-position model. The record is from RNAcentral.